Molecule: transfer RNA, 74 nt
Filed under: Pteropus alecto (black flying fox)
Lineage: Eukaryota; Metazoa; Chordata; Mammalia; Chiroptera; Pteropodidae
Also listed under: 1 other name
Rfam family: tRNA
About the family: Transfer RNA (tRNA) molecules are approximately 80 nucleotides in length. Their secondary structure includes four short double-helical elements and three loops (D, anti-codon, and T loops).
Source: Rfam by way of RNAcentral
GGCUCCAUAGUGUAGUGGUUAGCAUGUCUGCUUUACAUGCAGAAGGUCCUGGGUUCACGCUCCAGGUGGAGCCA